GAUUAGCUCAGUUGGUAGAGCAACUGACUCUUAAUCAGUGGGCCCAGGGUUCGAGUCCCUGA
Molecule: transfer RNA, 62 nt
Filed under: human gut metagenome
Also listed under: 1 other name
Rfam family: tRNA
About the family: Transfer RNA (tRNA) molecules are approximately 80 nucleotides in length.
Source: RNAcentral